Molecule: ribosomal RNA, 460 nt
Filed under: uncultured bacterium
Lineage: Bacteria
Description: partial 16S ribosomal RNA
Rfam family: Bacterial small subunit ribosomal RNA
Source: RNAcentral
CCUACGGGGGGCAGCAGUGAGGAAUAUUGGUCAAUGGACGAGAGUCUGAACCAGCCAAGUAGCGUGAAGGAUGACUGCCCUAUGGGUUGUAAACUUCUUUUAUAUGGGAAUAAAAUGUUCCACGUGUGGGAUUUUGUCUGUACCAUAUGAAUAAGGAUCGGCUAACUCCGUGCCAGCAGCCGCGGUAAUACGGAGGAUCCGAGCGUUAUCCGGAUUUAUUGGGUGUAAAGGGAGCGUAGGUGGAUUGUUAAGUCAGUUGUGAAAGUUUGCGGUUCAACCGUAAAAUUGCAGUUGAAACUGGCAGUCUUGAGUACAGGAGAGGCAGGCGGAAUUCGUGGUGUAGCGGUGAAAUGCGUAGAUAUCACGAAGAACUCCGAUGGCGAAGGCAGUUCACUGGACUGCAACUGACACUGAGGCUCGAAAGUGUGGGUAUCAAACAGGAUUAGAUACCCCGGUAGUC